GGGUAAGUAGGUAGGGAGACAGGUGAGUAGACAGGUAGGUGGGUAUACAGGUAAGUAGAUAAGGAGACAGGUGAGUAGACAGGUAGGUGGGUAGAUGGGUAAGUAGAUAGGGAGACAGGUGAGUAGACAGGUAGGUGGGUAGACGGGUAAGUAGAUAGGGAGACAGGUGAGUAGACUGGUAGGCGGGUUGAUGGGUAAGUAGGUAGGGAGACAGGUGAGUAGACAGGUAGGUGGGUAGACGGGUAAGUAGGUAGGGAGACAGGUGAGUAGACAGGUAGGUGGGUAGACGGGUAAGUAGAUAGGGAGACAGGUGAGUAGACUGGUAAGUAGAUAGGGAGACAGGUGAGUAGACAGGUAGGUGGGUAGACGGGUAAGUAGGUAGGGAGACAGGUGAGUAGACAGGUAGAUGGGUUGAUGGGUAAGUAGAUAGGGAGACAGGUGAGUAGACUGGUAAGUAGAUAGGGAGACAGGUGAGUAGACAGGUAGGCGGGUUGAUGGGUAAGUACGUAGGGAGACAGGUGAGUAGACUGGUUGGUAGACAGUCAGACAAACAUGUAGAGAGGUAGGUAAGUAGACAGGCAAAACAGACAGGUAGGCAGCUAGACAGGUAGGUAGAUAGGGGGGAAGAAACAGACAUACAGGGAGGUAGGUUGGUAAACAGGUAAGUAGUUAUGUAUGUAGAAGUAUGUAGAAGUAAGUAGGUAGGGAGACAUAUGGGGAGACAAGUGGAUAGACAGCUAAGUUAGGAAGAUGUGUAUGUAAACAGGUAAAUAGUUGGUUAAACAGGUACAGUAAGUACACAGACAAGUGGGGAGACUGGUGGCUAGAAAGGUAGACGGGUGUGCGGACAUGUAGGAAGGUAGACGGGUAGGUAGACAGGUUGGUGGAUAGACAGACAGACAGGAAAGUAAGUACACAGGCACACACACAGAUUGACUGAUGGUGCUGAUUUCUAAAAUAAAUGAUCACUGAAAUAAAACACACUAUAGAUACAGGGUUCUUAGGAUGAUAACGGGAGCAUUUCUGAAAGGGCGACGUUCUAACGCUUCCCUCACAGACACACCGUAAAGAACCCGUUCAGGGUGCCGAACUUAACCGUUCUAGAUAAUAGCUUUAACCUGAAUGAAUGUUGAUCUAAAGCUGAUCAAAAAUACCCAGCCUCUUACAGUAAAGCACAAACACACUGGAAACAUGCACCUCAUCAUCUCAUCAUGGAAACCAGGACAAAUACAAGAUGCUUAUUUCUUUUUGCUGUAA
Long non-coding RNA from Ictalurus punctatus (channel catfish), 1257 nucleotides. The record is from Ensembl. NCBI's taxonomy places the organism in Eukaryota, Metazoa, Chordata, Actinopteri, Siluriformes, Ictaluridae.